Carassius auratus (goldfish) is the source of this 422-nucleotide non-coding RNA. NCBI's taxonomy places the organism in Eukaryota, Metazoa, Chordata, Actinopteri, Cypriniformes, Cyprinidae. The record is from the annotation of a RefSeq genome assembly.
AGAGAACUGUUAGUCUUGACUCUCAAAGUCAUAGGCUCUCAUUAGUGUAAAUGUUGCUCCUUGUAUUCAUUAUAUUUUCUCUCCAAAAAGAGAAUGCUGCUGCUGACAUCAUAAAACCAGUCUUCACAGAGAAGCAGAUUUUAGCAGGAAAAGAUGUUACAUUGAUCUGCAACUACAAUGGAAAUGUUCAGAAUUUACAGUGGUACCGUCAGUAUCCCGGAUCCAAACCUGAGCACCUCAUUGUGUUCUUUGAAACCAGCCCUAAAUUAGAGCCCGCUCUCCGUCUGACCGCUGCGGCUGAUAAAGCAGCCAAAACCAUGAAUCUGACCAUCUCUUCUACAGAAGUGAAAGACUCGGCUCUGUACUACUGUGCCCUGCAGCCCACAGUGACAGGAAACACAACUACACUGUACAAAAACUGA